Molecule: long non-coding RNA, 463 nt
Organism: Daphnia pulicaria
Lineage: Eukaryota; Metazoa; Arthropoda; Branchiopoda; Diplostraca; Daphniidae
Exons: 3
Source: RefSeq, a predicted model, not a curated record
AGGGAAUCUUUUGGCUGUCGGUAGGUGGCUAAAAUGGUUUGUCCCCCAGCCACCAGGUGUCGCGAGUGUCUUCGUGAGGACGAUAAAUUUGUCAUUUGUUUCCGAAACGCUGACUGAAAGUGUAUCAUUCAUUACGGAAUUGCGGUGUCGAUCUACAUUUUCAGACAUGAAAUGGCAAUCUGGCAUAUAAUUUUACUUGCCCAAAUAAUGUGACGACGUGGGUCGAAACUGCUGUCCAAUGUCGGCCAUUGUUUGCUGUACCUAUACGGCUGCACAUCUCAUCUCGUGCAGAAAUACUUCAGAGGUAGUUGGAGAAGGAGAUUCCUUUGCUCAACUGUUGCAGAAAUUGAGAACACGACAAAGGCUGAGCUUCAUGGCUGUUGUAUCAUAAACAGUUUUUUUGCAGCCAGCUGGUGAAAGGUGUGAUCAAGUCAAGUUGAGCUGCAGUUGCUGUAUGCAGUUU